Molecule: long non-coding RNA, 24270 nt
Organism: Gasterosteus aculeatus aculeatus (three-spined stickleback)
Lineage: Eukaryota; Metazoa; Chordata; Actinopteri; Perciformes; Gasterosteidae
Source: Ensembl
CUACCCCCCCUCCCCUCCCCGACCCCCUUCCGAUAAACACCACUAUUACCCGGCGCUGACCCCUAAGCACUAUUUACCUUGUUAACACGACGCCGGACCCCAAACACACGCUCAUUUCCUAUGCUGUGAGAGCCAUUUAUGAGCAUUUUACUUGUAUCUGUGUGGCCUCAAAGAGACAACGGGACCAGCAGUGACGGUGUUUGUUCAGUUGUCCUACAUUACUGUCAGUGAUGGCGCUGUUUGAUGUACGCAAGGGCUUGAUUGGUGGAAUAGGAACAGGAAAAAAGUAAUUUCCUGUGUCAGACUUUUCCCCUUGAGAUUGAUAAAUGAAAUGUGAUUAAAUAUUUAGGGGAUUACAAUGUGCAACACAGUAAUCAGGUUGUGCGAUGUUUAUGCAUUACUAAUCUAUCUAAUAUCACACAAACUAACGGACGCAGAAAUGGGCAGGCAGGAACAAGGCCACUGGAAUGCUCCACUCUCCUGCAGAGAACAAUAAGCGGCUGGUAAAAUAAGUACCUGUGGCUUCCUCUGGUAUUCGUGCUUAGGGCUUGAUGACAGGAAUGGAAGCAGGUAUGCAGGCGAGGUGAUGCGGAAAGGCGGGCAACACUGGGGGGCAACUCCAGGGCACGGAGGGAAAAGCAUGGUCUGGAAUAGUGAAGAAGUCACAUCGCAGGUUGAGUGCAGACAAACUGUCUGUUGUUACGGCCUCUUUUAAAUAGGCAAAGGUUUUAAAAGAGACAUGCGAAGGAAAUCGAGACCAGUUACUUGGAGAAAAAAAACAAUCCGGACUUUAUAUACAGUAUUAUCUAGCUAUACUCAAAGAAAACGAGGAUUUGGAAAUUCCAUCCAAGAAAACCCAAAUGGGUGUAUCUAUGUGUGUGUGUAUCUGUGUGUGUGUCACUGCCCCACACUGCACAUCCGGUCCUCAUCCUUCCCUCCGAUGAAUCCUUGGUUCACUCCUACAGAUACGCCAGGUAAAGGGUAGUGAGGUUAUAGAGUAAAUGUAAUGAACAAAGAAUCCUCGCUGGUGUCAUGAAAGCAAAUUGUGUGUGUGUGUGUGUGUGUGUGCGUGUGUGUGCGUGUGAUGACUCACUUCUCGGCUGUGCGGAUUACACGUGCUACCCGGAGCUUUGAGCACAGCUCUAGGGAUCUGUGUGGAUAAGAGCACCACAUGUCUUUAUAAAAGUAUGAGCUAAUUAAGCCCACUUCUCCCACAGUGCGUUUGGGAUCCACACAUUCCAUGACCUUUUUUCACGUCCAGCGGAACCGCUGCACUGGUCCCCGGAAGCGUGUGCCAACACGGAAGCACAGUUCGGGGUUUUUUUUUACGCGCUACCUGGAGGCGCAGCUGAAGGCCGAAGCCUCGAGGAAUCCUGGUAAAACGGUGCCCGUGGAGAAUCCCUCCGCUGUGCUGAAAUCACAAUGUUAACCGUGCGACAACAGAGUGUCUACAGCUAAAUGCUAUAGAUCUAGUCUUUGCUGCAUGAUCGUACCGUACUCAUAUCACACCCAUCUCAGCUGUUAAAAAUGACAGCAAACACCAUGUGAGUGUUCAAAAAGUUCAAAUGAUUGACAACUGAAUAUUCAAUUCAAUUCAACUAAAUUCAUUUUAUUUUGUAUAGCCCAAGAUUGCAAAUUACAAAUUUGCCUCAGAGGGCUUUACAGUCUGUACACAUACAAUAUCCUCUGUCCUGAAACCCACCAUCAGCACAGGAAAAACUCCCCAAAAAUUGAAAAAAACCCUUCCAAGAGGGAAAAAAGGGAAGAAACCUUCAGGAGAACGUUAGAGGAGGGAUCCCACUCCCGGGAUGGACAGACUACAAUGGAUGCCAUGUGUACAGAAUGAACAAUGUAUAAUACAUGCAAUUCAUGACAGAAAUGAUUCAAGUAAUUGUGAGUAGUAAGCCAGGCGCACAGCAGGACCAUAUGGGAAUAUGGGUUGUUCAACCUUAGCGGAUGUUCCCUUCUUGAUUGUUUCAUUUGAACAAGUUUUCAAGUUCUUCAGUAUUCAGCAGAGAACCAAAUAAAACACUUUUGGGUGGGCCACACACAAUAAAUGCACUUUCCAAUAAGUACUGUUGUGAUGUAUCCAUAACCAUACACCUAGAUUGAGAUCUACUUUUUAAUCUAUUUUCCUGCAAAAGAAGUUAAACCCAUUUGAAUGGAAAUAGUAAAUGUAGCUGACAUGAAGGCUACUUGUGUUGAAUGACUUUUUCUCAGCCUUUCUAUCAGCACGUCAUUUUGCGUUACAUUUUUAACCCUCCCACAUUCACCAAAGCGGACCUUUUCACAACGGUAUUAAUAAGCACAUCGGGCCGUGCUGCCCGGGAGGAUCCGUGGAGCGUCGUGCUCACAGCCCCGAUCUGGCAGCACGUUCACCAUCAGCCCGGCCAUCUGCUGGGCUCUCAGCAGCUUGUUUAGAGGUUAAUAGCUUCAUGAUCCCUCUAUCAGUCCUGCACCAUCUUCAAAUGGCUAAUUCUUCCUCCCUGGCAGCCAUUAGCGGGUUGCCUGCGGCGCGGCGUCCUCCGUCCUGUUUUUUCCCCCAAUCAUUCGGGCCAUCAUUAGCGGACAUGUGAUAUCGGACCACAAUAGAUUUUACUCGGCGUGCAGCCGCAACAAAAUGACACAUCCGGAGCCUUUACAAAUGGGUCGGAACACGCGAUGAGAGUGGUAUCCUGAGGUCAUGGGAUGUGGAGGUUUUUUGAGAUAGUUUUCUAUACGGGAUUUGUGACGUGUGUGUUUUCCUCGGACAGGCUGGACCGUCUCUCCACAAGCUCUCCACUGCUGCACUGGACUCCGUAGGGGAAACCGCUGGAGUUGCUCGGGGUUAAUGCGGCGGCAUUGGGGUUUAAAAGAGUGCAGGCCCAGUAAAGAGAUCAACUUGUGUCGGGGCUGCAGGGACCUUUGCGCUUGACUUGAAGUUUGACUUUUACUGAACCCUAUCCAUAACUGACUAAUUUUCUUAGAAAAAUCUCCAACUGCCUCUCAAAUUAAGUUGAAGGCUUUUUUUUCCCCCCAACGUGACUUCGGCAUGACCCCCCGUGAAUUUGCAUAUUACAUAGCUGAGAACUGAAUAUUAAGCACUUGAGCGAAUUACUGUCUCUCAGUUUAUAUUCCCCGUGCAGCUCGAGGUAGCGAGCAAAGGGGCGGUUGGGCAUUUAAAACCCCUUUUGAAGAUAAUGUGAUUUUUUCAUUUGGCUGAUAACCACGUGUCACGGAAUGUUUCAUUAUUUUGGACACCAAGCACUUUUUUUUCCCCCCUGCUUCAUGGCUUACCAAGAGGAAGAAAAAAUUAAUCCAGCAUCACAUUAUUGUGGCUCAUAUGAGGAAAGUCAGUGGGGGGAGUUAUUCGCUGUGAUUGCUGUUGGAACGUCUUCGGGGAUCUGCUCUGAUUCUGACGAUUCUGGCAGACGGCAAAGCUCCCCAAAGCUGGGGGCCGUGCGACGAUAUGCUUUCACACAAGUGCUGCAGUGUUUCCUCUCGUCUUUUAGAAGACGAUGCACAGUUGUGUGAAUUACCCACAUCCCACGGUGCCAUGACUUGACGAUUUCCUAUAAUGUCAGCGUGCUUGUACAUGUUUUUAGAAACGUUCAAAGCUCGAAGCUCAGAUGCUGACUGCAUGUUUGUUAAAAAAACCUCAACACGAGCCUUUCAGAGCAAAGUCUCAGGUCCAGAAAUACAUCGCUCUGAGAACCUUUGGAGCUACACUAUGUGGAAUUGGGUAUCUGGUUUCAUAUGAUUGCUCUAGCCACUGCAUAUGCAUUAUAUAAACAUGAAAAGGCCCGAUAGCUCUGAGGGAAACUGUGAUCUCUCAACACAUUCUAAUUAAAGAUUUCUCCCUUCCACUCUGGCCCAAAAUGGUUGCAUUCCUUUUCCUGACAAUCUUAUUCUCGAUUGGCUCUCUAGCAAUCUUUCUUUUUGGUGUUUUUCCAUCCUGCCCCACAAACACUGAUGUCACGGUGCACGUUGCAGAGGAGGAUACUCCGUUUCUUCAUCUGCACGUUUAUGGGGAUUUUCUCAUUGGUCAUAAUAAGUGAGAGCGGCAGGUUCACCAUAUGGACAGACGAUAGCGGGUGCUGCUGAGGACAGAUGAAUGGAUGAAUAGGGACACUCCAAAGGUCUCGGCCCCUUUCGUCAGUGGAUGGAAACAGUGAAAUAGAUUAGUGAGCUUUCCCUAUAAUAGCUUAGCAGACAGUGUGCCGGCACCUGAAGACGGCAAUUAGCCACAAACAUCACUGUUAGACAAAAGCAAUGUGAAAAGUAGAAAGUGUUCACAGUUGUAAUCGUAAAAAGUGAGGAGAGAGUGGUUAAGUAUUUGGACCAGUGUUUGUUAUGCUACUUUUAAUGAAGGACUAACCUUAACCUCACCUAAUGGGUUUAUGACCCCUGUGUAUGCUUUUCUGUUAACGUUUGCCUAAGAUAAGCUUUGGAAGUUAAACACCACACAACUACAUCGAAAGUGAAAGAGAUUUCUUUAUUUUGGGAAAUUCCUAGGACCUCCCUGAAUUCUUUGUUGUUCAGAGAAUGUCAUCAAGGGGGUUGAUAUACGCCUCUGGAGUGAGUCAGAUCUAGACAAUCGGGCAAAUUCAAUGUUUCCAAAUGACUUCUCGGUUUUCAUUAUAUCUUUAAGCUUGAUCCAAAAUGGUAAAAAUGAGGCCUGUGAUGCUGAUUUUCCUCUUACGUCAGAGAAUGAUUCGGUACUCAGAAUGCAAUAAUGGCUGUCCAUCAGACUUCUGGGCAUCUCCAGGAUCUCUGAUCGAUAUGUUCUAAGCAAAAUACACACUCUCAAACUCAUUCAACAUGUUCCUUGAGAUCAUCAGUUAUCCUAAUGCUCUCCUAAAUAUUUGGACAGCAUGGGGCAGGGAAUCGCUGCAUGGCAAGGCUAAUACCUAACAAAUGUGGGUUGCAGCUUUGUCGUGCGGUGCACUUGUUCGAAUGUCCAGGCGAGCUGGGAUCUAUGUGAUUUUUGGAGUCCUGUCCAAACAGUGGGAUAAGAGCCAAACAGUGACCUGUGGCAGGCUGAUCAUUCCUACCACAUGGAGCAUGUUUGCACAGACCUGCAGUGGCUUCAACCGAGGAAUGCAUGUCCGAUUCCUCCUCACCUCCACGUCUUUUCCCGCUUCUUUAUGAACCUGCAUGUAUGAUCAAUGAUGCGAAACAGAUCCAACAGAAAGUGUGGUCUUCUGUAGAUAACAUCUGGUUUGUUAGAAGACCAAAAGGAAGCCAUUAAGACGUACUGAUGAAUUGCAGAGUAUCACAGCUAGUAAAUGAUGAUGAAUGGGCCCAUUACAUCACAUGAUCUCCAUCCUGGUUUGUUUUUGUCUGGAGGUUGCUGAAGUUGGAUACUAGGUCAAGCCCAGGAAGGGUUAAGAAGACACCUCCAGGCUAAAAUAAAUGACAGGGAUGGUGUCUGUUGACUUUGCUGACUAGUACUAAGUUAUUCUAGUAUUAAAGGAAUUUGACAAAGUAAACAAGCAGCAUUCAACAGGCAGUAGAUGCACAAAGGUUAAAUUAUUUGGAAUAAUAAACUUUCAAGGUAUAAAAUGGUGAGAAACUAUACAUAUGUGCAAGUCUGGAAUUGACUCACUAACUAUUUUUUUAGGGAAAACAUGUUUGCUGUUAAAUAUUGAACCAUUGCCAUGCUUUAUCCAACUGUGUAUUUGUCUGCUCUACAGUACAAUAGGCGGCUAAUGUUAGCAUGCCUGACAGGCUUGCUAUCCAAAGCAGUAAUCUGGCAUUAUUCUCAAGGCCGAGGGGUUUAUACUGGUUGGAAAUAGGAAACGUAAAUAUAUGUAUAUAUAUUUCACAGCCUUUUGCAACAAAUAUUUUCAACAAGUCAGGUGGUAUUUUAACCAACGCACAGAAUUAAUAAACAUUAACAAGCUAGCUUGCAUUGGUGCAGAAUCUUUCAACAGCAUUUAUUUAAUACAAGCCCCAAUUUUAAGUUAGUAUUGUUAUGGUCAUUGCGCCGUGAGGGUUACCACCAUAAUUGUACCUAUAAAUAUAGAUUAAUGCUUAUGCCUUUGAAUCCAUCCUUCACACAGCUGACUGUAUUUGUGUGUGCAGACUUCUUCAUGGGAAAGUGGCCGAGGUCAGGAGCUCUAACCCACCUUGAAAUGUCUAAAUAGACCAGGCCUGUACCAAGUUAUCAGCGCCUCACCAUUUCGCCCUCAGGGAAAGUCCCUGUUUAUUAUGAGCAAGAUAACUCAAAUAUGCAUUAAUUCCUCGGUUUAAAAGGUUCAGAGGAGAUCAUCAACUAUGCUUUUUUAGUUAUGUUAAUGCUGCAUUUUCACGUACCUUCUGCAUGCAAUAAAUGUUGUGAUGUCACUUGUUUUUAUUCUUACAUUGCAGCGUAAAACAUUCUGGAGAGGUUAAAAGGGUUUUCCCUACACAAUACUCAGCCUGCACACUCGCAUUCAUUGGUGUUUCUUUGUUCUAUCCUCUCAUGCAGCUGAAAAGACCAACGUCCCCCUCAGGGAUAACUGAGGUCUCAUCUUAUCGUUCUCAGAACUCAGGUCAGUAAUCUUUCUCAAUUAGUCGUGGAUCACAGAGGUUAGUCUUCUGGACUUCACGGUAGCCGGUGGUGAAGACUCUCUGUCUGCUACCGCGCACAUGUGUGUUACGCGAUAUGGGCGACCACUCCUCAUAACCCACAAGCCUCGGGGCAUAAUUUGCUGGAGACAUAUUGGGGUUGCACAUUGUAUGGAUUUUUUAUUAUUGCAAUCAAAUGAUUGUUCCAUCAGAAGAAAGAUGAAAGAUAUUUUUUUGGAAGGAAAGAGGCUUUGUGCUUUUAUAAGUGUAUUAUUAUUACGAGAUCCAUGACAGAUGCAUUGGAUAAUAUUUCAACUCAUCUUAAACAAUGCUACAUUCAAAAUAAAUCGCCACCAAAAUAUUGUUACUCUACAUUCUUUCUUCCAAAGUAUUGAUUUUCCCUAAAGAAAGGAAAUCAUUUCCAGAAUUAGUAAUCUUUAAAUGUAAGUAGCUAUUAUUAUUGUUAUCCUUAUUACACGGUGUUGAGGAAACGUGUUUUAAAAAGGUAUAUGCCUUAGUGUUUAAAUCAUUUCCUUAUAUGACUGCCAUUGUGUGGACACUUCAUUUGAUCAUUAGUGUGUUAAGGUUACCGAUUGUUUCCCUCUUAACGGUGACUAUCACGACUCCCUCGAUAAAGAGACCACUCCUGUCCAUCUUAAUGCGAUCAAUAAUCCAAUCUGAAUCUCCUUGUGGAGGUUGUGUGUGUGAAAGCCUACACCCCGGAUAGAUGCCCCCAGUAGGGGGAAGAGCUCCGGUCUGACCUCCAACAUGCAUCGUUUUCUUCCUCCUUUCCGUCCUCGCUGUGUCACUUCAUUGUACAUGUCACCAUUUGGCUCCUCUGAUCUUUUUCUCAUUCCUCCAUUUAUCCUUUCAAUCUUUCCCCUGUCAACAUGCGGCGUGUCCAUCUGUCCAUCACUCCGUCACACGUCAUUCAGUAAUAUUGCGGUUUCCUCUCGAGAAAGUCUUUCUUCUCAUUGAAAGCUGAUUACUGUGUGUGUGUCUGUCAUCUUUGGUGUAUGUCACACUGAUCGAUGGACCGAGUGCUUCCCUGAGUGAGUGAGUGUGUGUGUGUGUGUGUGUGUGUGAAACAAAGCCACCUUGCUGAUUCUUUGGUUGCUGGAGAUGAGAGGGUGAGGUCUGAUUGGGAUUGAUCAAUGACCACUGAGCCAGUCGGUCUAUUCCUCUACUGCUCAAAGAAGCGCACACACACAAAUACACGCUUCACAUUGAAGUUCAAUGAUGGCACAACUAAACCAUAGGGAUCAUUGUUGUGUACGUGUGUGAAGAUGUGUAUGAGCACCACUGCUUUCCACAAUGAGAUCAAAAGUCUAAUGAGGCUCAUGUGCAGUCCAGCGUGAUAAAGUUGCUGCGGCUGUGGAAAGGAUUAUUUACAACACCUGCCUCUUGCAUCUUUUAUUAAUUUGCACAUAGACGAGGAAAAUGUAAUUCUUGCACCUAAUCUAAAUCAGAGUUCACCAACCAGACGCUUCAUGGGGAGCAGGGAUUGACCACUGAGUCUCUUGCAUGGGCGAACCUCAAGCAGUGGGGUUUGUGUCUGUCUGUCUGGCUGCGACUGCAGCCGGUUUUGAAAAACCUUUUAAUUAAUAGACUCAUUACCUUCCAAUCUCUCCGUGCCCUUUCCUCUGCAUCGUCUCGGCCUCUAGAGGGAAGCUUAGUGAUUCUCAUCUGUAGUGAAGGAUCACAUCCCUGGAAACGAGACCCCGAAGUGAUCCGGUCGGUGCCAGCUGGCGUGCCGAGGUUAGGAAUAAAAACACUUGUAUUUGACACCGUAUAAAGACUCCGUCCGUCAUCGGAGGCAAAUCAAUCUCAAAAUGACACAAAUAAGAAAAAAUGUAGAGAACUAACUUGAUUCCGAGAAAUAGUGCAAACACAAUGAAGCUGACGAUAUUAUCUUCUUUAACCUUAAAGCAGAAAGGUCGAGACGAGAGGUUUGGUGUGACAGAAACGGUAUAAGAUUAAGGAAUAGCCUGACCUCUUGCAUAUUUCACUUCUUCCUCUGCGUAGCUGUAAAACCCUCAUUACCAAAACAUUGGAAGUCUGAAUUAGACACACAUGCACACCUCUCCACUCGUCACACACUCACAGAGGUUUAUUGAUCAGAUGUCUGACACAAACCAUGAAGUAGUACCACUUCGAUUCUCUUUUUCAGAUACCUGAACUUUCCCUGAAGCCGAGGCAGGAGACAAAGAAAAAAUAUCCUUCUAUUCCCAAACAAAUGCUAAUGAUUAUGGACGAAUUAGACUGUCUUGAUUGUGAUAAAUUGAGAGCUUCACCCGCAGGUUCAUUCUCUUUUUUAACAAGUCCCAGUUGAAGUUCUGUGGUAAUUGUAUAAAUGCUUUUCCUUAGCUAUGACUAAUUAAGCAACAAGGUACGAGAGGCUUUACUUUAUCGUCAAAUAAUGUUACAGUCCGCCGUUUUUUUACUUGUAUACAGUGAAUGUACCACUGUCAUUUACCCCCUAUUGGGUGGAGUUAUAGUUGAACCAGAGAAACAAACUAACCCGUCUGUGAUGCUCGUCCCUCAGCCACUACUUUCAGUUUAAAUAUCAUCCACUUUUGGUUUCUAGGAGCUCCAGAUUUUAAUGACCUCGUUAAAAUGAAGUACUAUUUAUGUACUGUUUUAUACUUGAAGAAAACAAAGCACGUUUUAAUAACAAACACAUGGUUGGUUUUAGCAUUCCAUGAGAAACUAUUUGUUUGUGUCAAGGAUAAACAUUGAGACCAUGCACGUGUUUGAUUAGUUCGAGUGUCUGGGGGGAGUCCACGCCAUCUUCCUCCUCAGUCACAGUGACAAAUGUUUUGUCGGAACUCAAUUUAAAUCCUCAGAGUGUUCGGUGGGUACGUAAUAAUUAAGUAGACACAUGAACAUACAGUAUGAACACAGAAAAUAUGAGCCGGACAUGGAUCCACACUUUCUAAACAAAUAAACAGCAACAACAAAACAGUUAUACUGGGACGGGGCACUGUGUGUGCGUACACAUGCAGAUGUGUGCAAAUAUGUGUUGGGAAUCACAAACUAUGCCUAUUAAAUAGUUUUUUCCUGCAAAGCGUAACUGUUGCUCAUCCUAAGGACCAUGACUGCAGAGUCUUUCAUUGGUUCUACGUUGGUUGAUCAUCUCAUGUUUGUUUCGGGUCCAUUUAGCUUUCAUCUUUCUCAUCGGCUGCUUUAAAUCAGAUCAUUGUGACCUUGAGUACCGAUCUCUUUCACCCCUCAUGUGAGUGGAGCGCUAGGAAUUACUUAGAAUAAAUCAGGGCAAUAUUGUUGAUUGUAAAAAAAAGACAUAAUCUGAAAAUCUAUUUGAUAUCUUUAUUGCUUUUUAUGAAACUAUCAUUUGAUUUAGCAUCCAUUCCCAUAUUUACUGCAUUGUUGCAAUGUUUUUUUACUGCACACAAAACACCCAUUUAGCACAGAGCCCGGCUGCGGCAGUUCUUCCACACGCUCUGCCAUUGGCACACUGAUUCUUCGGUCAUUAGAGAUUACUGCCAAAUUGCAGGUGCAUUUAAGUUUUUUUGUUUCAUUUUCCAAAUUAAAACGGUUACUAAUAGGGAUAAACUGCUGCUUCAUUCCCAACCUUUCUGACUCAUGAAUGAAUAAGGCCCCGUCCUGUCAGAUGUAUUAUGUUGAUUGUACAUUUUAAACCUUAUUAUAAUUGUCAGAAAUAAAUGUGAAAUCUCACCUCAGCUUUCAGAGCAUCCUAAGCGUCGGCUGCUCUUAAGCAACGGAACGGCUAAGCUACAUUUGAAAUCCAUUUUUAUCUCAUUUCUUACUCUCUCCAAGUCAAAUUCAAGCAGGCUGUUUCUUCGGAAGUGGUAUUUGAAAACAACGUUUGUAUUUGCUUGUGGUGUUUGUCACCAGUGAGUUGAAUUCAUUUGGUUAGCUGCUCCAGCCCACCCACAGUCCCACACAGCAGAGCUCUAAUAGAGUGAUGGACAGUUCCCAGCUGUCAACAUGACAGUUGUAAUGGUCCCAUCCUUUGUAACAAUGAGAGAGGGGAGGAAUCAGUGGAGGGUGAGAAAUGGAGAGAGAGAGAGACAUGUUUUCUUUGGUUCUGUGUUUUCAUCUCCAUAUAGGCUGAAAAGGAGCGAGGCGAGGCCACAGCAGACAUGAUUCACUGAACAAUAAAUGCAAACUGCAACCAACAGUUGUGUGUUUCCCUGCGUAAAUCUUUUUUAGGUGCACGUACAUUCCUCUUCAAUUCGUGAAAACGAGCCGGCAUUCAGCUCAACCGUCGCAUUUAUAUUCAAUGAGAUUGACUAACAUUUCCAUUUUAUUUUUCGCAAUAUCCUUUAUCAUUUGGUAACUUGUCAUGGUGGGCAAAGCCAUAGCAAUUCUAUUCCUAACAGAGUCAUAAAUUCCCAGGAAGGUUGGAAUCACUGUAAAAAGGAGACUGCUCAACAACUCCAUGGAGCAGUUUAUUCUUUAGUUAGAUUUUUUUUGGUAAAAGUUUGUCAUUUCCACCUGACAUCAGUGUCAUAAAUGUAUCAAUAUGGUCAUAUUAAAGAGGGCAAUACCUCUUUAACCUGCUGGACUUGUUGGUCCUUUUGUUGAAGGCUAUCCGGAUACCGUUAUAUUGCGCACACAUUCACAUGUUAUGAUUUCCCCUUCACAUCACGUAACACUUAAAACAUCUCAAACAAACCAAAGCACAGCUCCCCACCAGCUGGCACAUGGCCAUCAACAGAUAUACAGAUAGGUCAGAUCUUGGAUUUGAAAGACAAUGGAGGGGUAGAGCUGUGUGGGAAUAGCAACUAGGAAGGAGCUGAAAGAAAAGGUUGCAUGUCAAAGCAGACUAUGACUACCUCUCCCCUUUAUGUGUUCCUCAACGCUUGACGUGAGACAACAUUCAUUUAUUUUUUCGCCGCUGACGGGAGCAGCAAAGGACGGAGAACAACUACUGUGUCCUUGCAGAGGAGGUGUGUUUCUGCUUGCGUUGGCCAAAACCCUCUGAAAGAACUGUGUGUGCGACGCUGCUGACUGAAGGGCGAGAAGGCGAUGGAGGGGAGGGGAAGCCUGAAGUGGUAAUUGAUGACUGUUGAUUUUGACCGCUCUUAUAGACGUGGCGAGAAAAAGAGAAUUAGAGAAGUAAGGGUGAAGACAGAAGGACUCUGUUUCCAUCCAAGAGUGAGUUUUCAGUAUAUUGGAGUGUCGUUUGUUUGCAAAUUCCCUUUGCUCUCCAACCAAUUCUCAUUCUGCUUGACCUGAAUUACACUUGAUAGGAGGAACCGGUGUCACUUCUUCGGCUCCCUGAUGCUUUUGAAAUCUGAAUAUCAAUUCUGAAAAGUCUGUUUUCUCAAACCCACAAUAUGUCCCGUAAUCACUGCUGCUAAACAUAUGUAAUCCCAAUGGAUUUGGAGUCAACCAAUGUGCAUGCGGAUGUGUGUGUUGUUAAGUGAUGUAUUUGUGAAUUACAGCACAGGAGGCCUUGGCUUAGUCUUUUUAGCAGCGUAUUUAUGUGGGACAAGGAUACCAUGUCCAAGCACAAAGCAAAUAGGAUUUUCUAGCAUCUUUCUCUCACUGUCUUUUGUAUGUGUGUGUGUGUGUGUGUGUGUGUGUGUGUGUGUGUGUGUAACGAGUUUACAGGCUUAGUUUCCCACUGUGGUCAUCCAGAUUGCCAGUCCCAACAGCCUUGUGUACGACAUGCUGGAUAAAUCCUGUUUGCACGCACGCACAGACACACACACACACACACACACACACACACACACACACACAUCAUGCACACACACAGAUCACACCACACACACAGGAGUGAUCUGUAGCCAAGAGAUGUGGGCUAGCCGGGUCAGCUUAACCAAAUUGAACUCUGGUUUGUCUGAAACAGACGAGGAUGCCCAUGCAGGGACAAUGCUUGUGGAAUGUGUAAGUCUGAUCAAAAGCCAUGAUUAGACUUACAUAUUUCAAUUGUGUAAUAUCACUUAAUUUUUUACCCCAUGUCUUAAAAUAUCAAAGGUUAAACAUCCUUUUUUUUUUCUUUCUGAGCCUCAAAAUAAUAUGCAACUUGUACCGGUGAGAACCUUUCAGUCGCCAAAAGAAUCCAAGCUUCUUUUUUUUUCGAGCUGAACAUCAACAACUGCUCUUUGUCUACGUGGGUGAAAGUUCACGUACUGCGUUCAGAAUCCGUGUUCCUCAGCUACCUCGGCUUAUUUGAAAAGUUGGAUGGAUUUAUUUUGAAGUCGAGAGCUCCUCAAAUCAAAAAGGCAAUUAGCAGGCUCUUCUGUUGUGGCAGCAAACAAAUCUCCCCAUCUUUUUAAUUUAAUGAGCUAAGUCUGGCUCAGAACGAGAGUCUCUGUUGGAAUUUCAUAAUCAUUUCCACUCCUUCUCGGUGUGUAGAAAAAAGGGCCGGGCCUCCAGACUGGUGUUGUCACAGUGUUAGGUAGCAUCCAGGGAUAUUAUAGGAAAACAGCCGCAGACAGACUCAUUAGGAGAUGUCCACGCCGGCAGAGACAUUAAAUUCAUGACGAUGCUAAUACACAGACAGCCCGGGUAAGAUUUCACUUGAAUAAUGGAUGUUCUGUAUCGAAGGGACCAGAGUUGUGUUUUUUUUUUUUUUUUGCUAGAGCUCUGUGACACUGAAGUGUUAUGACUGAUUCAGUUGUUUCAAGAGUGAGAAGCUAACCGCGCUCCAUCCAGCAACAGAGAAUAGACAGGGAGGCAGGAUGACGCCUGGAAUGCAGAAUACUGAGCUCGCCCAGCAGCAUAUGUGGGGACACACACACACACAGAUGGUUAAGAGGUAUAGGAAUUUCCCCUCCCAACAGACACGAAAACACGUCAAAAACCUUUUUCUUGUUUAAAACGUUUUUUAUUUGCAUUGAAGUGAGAUGCAGAGGCUUACCGUCCGAUUGUUCGUUCCCCUCUCGUGGAAACCCAUUCAAACAGAAACAUGUUCAGACUAAGUGUUGGGAUUACUAACAGACCUCUCGGUGUGCUUGUGCUCUGUCUGCAGGAAAAAAAAAGAAAACUGCCAGUUAGGAUUCAAACUGAGAGCUAUGGCAUUGUGGCACUAAUGGAGCAGUAGAUUGGGGUUAAGCGUCUGAAUGGGGAGUGGUCCACUUGCUCUGCCUCCGGGCUACCUAUUCAGGGGCACCGCUGAGCAUUUGCAUAAUUGCUGGACACCGGACCACGGCAUAGGGUUCUGAGCCGUCCCCAUUCCAGCUAACCUAAUUCGGUCUGAUUGGGCCGGGAGGACCGGUGCUGAACUCUGUGAAUGGCUCUGAGAUGAGGGUAAGAGGACGGACGGACCUCUUGGCGAAGCGGUUAGGGAGGAUAUAGAAUAGCAAGGAUGGAGAGCAGCGGCACUGCUUAGACCUCACUGCGGUGAAUGAUUACUUCCAUAAUUCAGUGUUGGACUCAAACAAAUGAAGAACGCAAAUGAAAAGGGUGACUAGACCAAACAACCCCAUUUCAGGUACUCAUGCUGUAAUUAUCCUGAUAAAGACACGUUUACAAUAAAUACCUUCCCAUUAACACAGAGCUUGACAGAUCUUCCACUGACUUAUUUGGCUGAGUAGAAUAGUCGUAAGCAGUCUUUGUCCUUCUUCCCCCGGUCCUAUUUAGAAUUUAAUGAAAGAGGAGAAAACAGCACAUUUCAUUGAACUCAAAUGGGACCCCAGAGAAUCCCAACCCCAUUUUAUUGGACAAUGGCAAACACAAAACGAACGAUUUGUACAGUUCUGAAGAAUGCAGAUGGUCGAUGUAAGAAAACAGAAAUGGAAGUUUCAUUCAGGAGAAUUUGGCAAUUGGUUGGGACCAAACCAAAGGUGGGACAGUUUAAAAAGCCCCCACAGUGGUGACGUAUUUUGGUCAGGUUUCUCUUCUUCCUAUCUGGUUCGCGCCAUUAGCAUGAACAGGUGCGGAAGUAUUGAGACAAGGUGUUCAGAUGUGAUACGGAAGGCACCCUAGUUGCAACUACUUACUUAAAUAAAAAUGAUUCACAAACUAUCUUUGCUCCAAGGCUCUCUCCAUCGCGCGCUCUUCACCGGCUUUGAUGGUGGAUAAACGGAAGGUUAGCUGUGAAGUGGGAUUGGUUUAACACCAUGCCAGCAGAGCCCCGGUCUCAAUGGCUCCUAGUGCUCGGGGCUAGUGCCCUCGACACAGCUCCUGUGUAGGUUCCCUGAACCCAGACAAGUGUUUCUCCUCCCACCCGGCGCUAUAGCUCCACUCCCCUUGCCUCAGAUUCCCAUUCAGCCCGUUUACCAUGCCACCAGGCCCAUUCAAACCUCAGUCGGCAUGUGUUACAGCCUCACAGAGACCACUGAACUCUCCCUAACCUACUAAUCAGACCUCUCCUCCCUUUCAGACCUUAAACAUAAAGCCCCAAUCUGACCACCAUUUUGUAGGUCAGCCACUGUGGGCUUUGUGCAGGCCUCGGCACCACCAGAGAAAGAUCCUCCUCCUAUUGAUGGGUCUUGAGCAGAUCCCCGAGCGACCCAGACACCUCCCCCUGCAGAUGGAGCAAUUCAAAGACAUCCAGUUUAUUAAGCUGUCACUGCGCAUCUAAAUCUGUUCCCUAUUGCAAUGGCACAGGCCUGUCCAGAGAGAGAGAGAGGGCCUUUGUGUGCCACCAAGGUAUUGAAAGCUAUAACAAAAAAAAAAAAAAAUCACACACACUAAAAGUAAUGCACACACACCGGUUAAAUGAGAUGCAAAUCCAACGAUUCACUUGGCAGUAAGAGGGUGCUUUUCAUUGUGUGUGUGUGCGUGCAUCUUGCGCGCAUGCAUGCGGCACCCGUUAUUCUGUGUUUGUGUGUGUGUGUGUGUGUGUGUGUGCCUAAUUCCUGCAGCAUGGUCUCAAUCUGUGCUGGCCUAGGAAGUGUGUGUACAGUUGAGUGGCCGUAACACAGUUGUUGGUACAGGGGCAUUGUGUGACUGUGGCAGGGAGAGGAAUUACUUAGGGAGCCGGGACAAUGUCUUCGGUUGAAGCGGGCUACACCGUGAUGUAGGAGAUGAGCCAUUCAGGGUGACAGAGACAGGAAGAGAGAGAGAGAGAGAAAAAAAAAGAAUGGGAGGCAGAGAAAGGGUGAGGGCUGAAAUGGAUCCUGGUUAAGACCUGUAGCUUUUACCUCUUCUGCAGACAGUCAACACUGCGGGCUUGGAUCUGCAUGGCUAAUGGCAGUUUAGGGUUGAUGUUUCUUGCUGACCCCUGGAUUUCAGAGAGUCAAAUUUAGUGGCAGGAUAACAAAUGCAGUGCAGUAGCCCCGGCGUAGAACAGUGUUUUAAUCCCUUGCUUGAGCAAAUGUAAAGACUUUAAUGGCUCUUUAGGCCACUUCUGAAUACCACUUUUGGGCCUCCUGAGCUUUCGGCAGUAAUCAGCAGUGAAUAUUCAGAGCUUCAGCUGGGGGACGUGAGUCAAUCCUCUGUGGGAACGACAUGACCAGAGGAGUGUUUUAACCGCUCCGUGGGAGCCCUGGGCGGCACAGACUUUCGUGACUAAAAGCGAACACAUUUUUUGUCACUCACUCACUGGCUUUAAAGUGUAGACGUACCUCAGAGUCAUAUUUGUCCGCCCCCCCCCCCCCCCUACCUGAACACAAUGACAGCCCGCGGCUCGCAGAGGCUCGAGUCUGUCAUGGGUUACUCUGCCACACAGGCAACCAUUGUUGCGUCUCAAUCAGAAGCAUGUUCCCAGAGGUUUGGUCUAUAUUACCCAUGUUUGUAAUCCCCAGGAAUCCACAAAAAAUCAAAUACCUACCCGAUGAAGAAACAUUCAAAUAAUCAAUUAUUAGCGUCCAGCGUUGUUCUCCUUUUGCCAUCUGUUAUGCUUUGGAUUCUUUGAAUCCCUUGUGAUUGGAAUCCGCCUCUGGCAAUGUGAUUUAUUGGCCGAUAAAGGUCAGCCCAAAAUAGUAUACAAAAUUGGGUUAAUACAAUAAAAAUCUCCAGGAAUGUACUUUUAACUUUUUUAAUACAACAAUUUUCAGUUGACCGGAAAGAAUUCAAAGAACUCAAUUUCGGAGUUCUCACAUCUACAUUUUCUGUAAAAAUAACUAAAGAAGUGUUUGCAUUGUCGUGCAGGUGGUUUUCUUUGAGUGUGUGUGUAUUUAUAUGUCUAGGAGUGUGUCAGUGGGUGUAUAUUUGCGUAAGUAGUGGAAAUUAAAGGCUCAUGUGGUAAAUGCUGGCAUUAGGAUGGGAAAUGACCGGUGAGCCGUUCAAUAACGCCCUGAGUUGUUAAUGACCGCUGCCCCCCGGCUCAGAGAGGGCCGUAGUCUGACACACACACACACACACACACACACACACACACACGCACACGCACGUGAGGAGAAGAAACAGCAAGAGGAAAUGAGCAAGUGAUCCACUUCACCUUCUACUGUACAUUCCCACACGAAGACUCUUUUAAACUUCGCCGUGUGCAGGAUUCAGCUUUGUGAAAAGCUUGACCAGGUAUUUUUCUACUCCGGGCUCCGGGGCUUUUUUUUUAUGCACAUGGAGAAAGCCUCUACUCAAACCCUCAUAUUUCUUGUUUUUUAAUAUCAUUAAUGGAAGGGUCUGUGCAAGUGUUGAAAUAUGACCCAAUUAACAAGCGGUGCCGUUUUGUUAUUAUUUCUCCCUGAAUUAAUCUUAUGGAAAUAGGAUCUGAGAGUAAGGUAGAUAUUUCCCAUGGUGUGGCUCUGUGAAAUAGGUUACACAUGUACACUCAGCACACCGCUGCCCUCUCGCAUCGGCAAACUUUUCUCCAUUAGCUCCCACUCCUUUCUCAUGUGGCUCUUUGCUCGGUGCACACGGAGACGGUCACAGGCUAAACAAACAGUAUUGCCUUUCUUCAAGAAUAUGUCAAUUUGGUCUGGUAAUAAUUUUAGGUGAGAAGACUGAGGAAACAGUGAGUUUGUAUGAGCAUUGCAGAUGGUAUUAUCACAUGAAAAUAGGCAUAAUUGCACUGUGCUUAUAGUGCUGGUUAAGUAAACCUACAGCGAGGAUCGGGUUGCGCUGCCUCGCCCUCCCUUGUGCAUCACCGAGUGGUUAGAUGCUGUUUUAACUGUGAUAUAGGAGACUGUAUAAAUGUCUCAUAAUUACUUGGUUGGGAAUUUUUCAUACUUCUGUUUGACAAAAUGUAAUAGUGGUUCGCAACGUAGCCGGCGAUUAGUUGUUGGAAUUUUUUAAAAGCGGUUGAUAAUGAUAAGAAACUUUUUUUUGGUAUCUAUGUGUUUCAAUAAAAAUAAGGCUAAUAGAUGAAGUAGAACGCUGCUCCUAUUUAAUAAACAGACAUGAAUAUGAUGAGAAAAAAAUGAUGUACGCUGAUCUAGAAAAUAGAUCUAGCAAUUUACAAUAAUAGCUGAAAAACGCACAUGAGAGAAAACUACUUGUUUGUACCUUUUUUUUUCACUCCUUUAGUAGGAAAGUCAGCGACAUUCAAUGAAACAAUAACUGUAAUUGUCAUUUGUUUGGCCUUUUGAAAGGUCUAUUGCCGCUAUGAAUCACAACAACGUGGCUAAUGUAUUGGAGGUGCAAAAUAAAUAGGAAAACAGCCCUGAGCUGCAAAUACCAGACACAUUAAAGCCUGGAGCACUUCCAGGGAAAUGUUUCAAUUAGAAAGAGUGAAUACCCCUAUAUUUCAAGGACAAGAUGGAUAACUUAGAGAAUAGGCUGUCAGGGAAGUAAACUACGCAAUAGAUUUAAUGAAAAUAACUCAUCUGGCAGAUCAGUUGCUUGAACAAGGCUUCGUCGUAACGGAUAGGUGGACGGCAAAUCGAUGCUCAGAAGACCAGAUGACCAGAAGAGCCGGUUUGUGUUAAAGCGCCGAGAGACAAAGUGAGACAGACGGACAAGAAGAAGAGAGGGAGUUUUAUCGAAAACGAGUCAGAGGCAGGGAUUCACUUAAGGCGAGCAGCAUCUGAAGUCAUUGUAACAUAAAUCCAAUACAUUUCUGUGAAACAAUAAUGACACAUUUUGGUCUUUCUUAUAAAACAUUGGCAGUAUUGGUCCACAUCAGGUGCAGGUGACACUUUCUGGAAUCCAAGACAAAGGACGCCUCAUGAUUUACAAGAACGCUCUUGGUGCGGCUCUGGGGAUUGAAACGAUGGUGAAAUGAUCCAGAAGAGUCCGAACCGAAAUAUCUUGGCUGCAUCCGCCGCUGACAUGUUUCAUAUCCACGGCCCCACAUUUUUAAUCCUCCUGACUUUGAUGUUCCUCUGACUAUUCCUCUAUUGCGCUACCAUGAGAUUUUUUAGCAAAGCUUUUUGAUGGAUUGCCACAUCAUUUGGCACCGAUAGCCUUUAUGCCCAGAGGAUGUAUUUCUAUGACUUAUUUUAUUACUGUAGACUUGUUUAUCUGUAGUAAACCAAUGUUUUUCUCUCUCUAUCUUCAACAUGAUGUGUUGAUGUGUGGAGUAGUUUAACAGUGGGCCUUCACACCACUUAUAUAAAACUUAUUUAUGCAUUAACAAAGUGUGUGUCAAAUCUAAGGUCCGGUGUGUUACCUUAGUCAAUUAAAUGCAACGAGGGCAGUGUCAUAGAGAUAUGAUCGAGAUGUGAGUGUGUUUAAGAGGUGUCACUCAGUUCUCACAGCUUUGCUUUGAUCUCUACAAGGCCGGCGUUCCUCUCAAACAAGAUUGCCAAAUGUCAAGUUUAUUAAAUAACUAUGUAUUUUAAUAUCUUCUAAGAUCUCACCAACUGAGACUGUCCGCCUUGGCCUUCUCGGAUAGUCUGAUGGUGUCCCUGCCAGGUGAGACAGUGUCCACUCCAUGAAAGACCAGUCUGUCAACGCACUCAGAACCACCUUUUGCCAGACAUGUGGUUCUUAUUUCGCAGCCAGAGAAUAAGAUUAACAUAAAAGAGUGUGUGUAACUGUUCUCUCAUUGCAAACCCUGCCUGGGGCCGGAGGAGGAGAGGCCGCGUUUGUGAUACCUCAUUUGGGAUCCUUUAAAAACGAUGUUUACCUCGCAAAGUGUGCAUCUCAAUGAUGUAUUGCAGUGGUCAGAGGCAUUAACAAGCAAUCUUCUGGACUCCAGGUUUACACAUACAGGGUUGGAAGUCAAUGGGUAACACGUGAGAUGAUAAUCAUUUCGUACUUUUGUCGUCAACCCAACGCUUGAUCCUAAAAAUAACAUCAAUCCUGACAAAAUAAAGGUGUAACGGUAGCGGUUGACAACCAUUUUAACUUCAAUGUCCAACACGUGGUUGCGUCACAAUAUCGUCACCGCAUGGUGGAGUUUCCUUAGAUGUAGCUGUGGUGCUUUUGUAUUUCUUACAAGUUGAAGUUGGCAGCUACAUACCAUGAAGUUGGAGAGAUAAAUGAAAAGCUGCUCUCGGGUGGAAGUUUGUCCAGAGCUGAGAAGCUUGUUCAGGCCAUGAGUGUCAUCAGCUGUCCCAUCGACGACUUUGGAACCAGCAUUAUUUUAAGAUAGACUUAACAAGUUUUUAUUUGAAUCCAAACCAUGCUCUUUGCCUAAUCUUAACAAAGUUGUGUUACUGCCUAAACCCAACCAAAUCUUACCUCUAACAAAUCCCAAUAGUUUUAAGUUUCAGAGAAACAGCAAUCAUCCUGUCGAUAGCAAUGUCAUAUGUCAAAUGAUCAUAAACUGUCCUAUCCUAAUUCCAGUCUACUUCUUGUCAGUUAUAUCUGCAUCAUGUACUGAAGUCAAAGGAAGCAGUCCCAGAAAGAGAAAGAAAAUAAAGAGCUUCAGCACAGGUGACACCAAUUUUCUGCUAUUUCCCUUUGUUUGCCCCGCUGACCUGCACGAGGAGCUACAGGCUAGCUAGGUUCUUGUUCAUGUCUACACAUAUCUAAUGCGUGUCUGUGUGAAUGAUUUAAAACAAAGCCGACAUGGUUUACAGAAUGUGAGCUGAGUAACAGCAGGUAUUUGAGCAAUACUGGGGUUUGAAGGUUGGACGUAAUAGCAGAAGGUUGGAGGGGUCUUUUCUUCUUGCGUGCUUGUGGGAAUCUAGAUGAAAAUGGAGGUACUUUUAAAAAUAAAUGUUUUAUUCAAUUCUUAUGAAAUGAAAUUAUGCAAAGCUCACGCAAAGACAGUUAUUAAUUUAUAGAUCUGAGUUCUAAUUUGCAAUAAGAGGCUGACACAACCCAGUGAUUAGGCAAACUAAUAUUGGUGCAACAAUGCCUCCUUUGGUAUAAUUUAAUCCAUCUUUCUCAUAAAAGAUCCCUCUCCUUUGUGCCACAGACCCUCAGACAUAACCUCAAGCAGGCUCAAGGGGGAAACGGCCAGAUAAGUAUAGCAGCCCUUUGUGUGACAAAAAUGAAUAUGAUUUGGUGCAGUUUGAUUAAAUCAUAAUGCGACAGGUAAUGAAUCUCCACCUUCGCGAUUUCAUUACUCAGUGCAGUCAUGUUAUCAACCUCCUAAUAUAGCCUCAUUAUAUAUUCCAUUUAUACCAGUGAGAUGUAAAAUAAAAAAAUGGACUUUUUUUUAUUUUUUUUUACAAAAGUCAGGUGUAUUUUUCACUUUACUAUUCAUACAAGAGCCGCGUCUCCUCUCUUCUCUCCUUCUUUUCGCCUACUCCAUCUCCUUGAGUUAUAGCCAACAGUCAUAUAUACCAACGCCAAACGAAGGAGGCCCUUGCAACUUGAAUUGGAAAUAGAUGGGAGAGCCCUGAAGUGCACUUGCAUGAAGGCUUCAAUUAUUUUGAUGAUUGGUGUCAGGAAAGGUUUCAGUAUGAGACUCAUCUAGUUCCAGAAGUGCUUUUUAUAGACUUUGCGAGCUUCUCAUCCCUAUCAACACUGUGAUACCAGAAAGGGCUUUUCUGACCCAUGUCAUCUUUUUUUUAUGAAUUUGUCUUAAUUUGUUAAGAUUUAACUAUUUGACUCUUUAAUCAGUCUCCCGAUGACCCUUGUUAGCUACAAUCAAACCCUUCCAAUUAAACAAGGUAAAUCUCUGAUUAGGACGGCGCUUAAUGACCAUGACCCCCGAUGUGGGGCAGAUGAUGUCAUAAUCAGAGUCAAUGAGCUAAUCCAUCUUGACAGAGAAGUCAAAGGUCACAAAUGAGGCUGCGAUAAGAGAUAGACCUAAUGAAUAACAAUGGGUGGAUUAACUUGAAGCAAAUCAUGUCAAUGGGGGAAGAGCUGGGCAAUAAUGUCCUACCGAUUUUCAUGGUGAGAAAAGAAAUAACUGUGUCCUGCAGACUGAAGGGAGGUCUUAUUUUAUAAGUCCAUGUCAUAAAAUAUCCUCCAGCUGUAAUGUCUACCUGUUUUCAACUACUUUACUUUCAGUUGAAAACCACACUCGAAAGAUAUCUUGUAAAAUAACUAUUUUUAACUGUUAAAAUUUUUUUUUAAUUUAUCUCAGAAGUAAUCAUUUACUCAUUGAUAACGCCAAGCUUCACACCUUACUGGGAAACAAUCGAUUCAGUGUGAGUUUAUGUGAACAUUUGUGUGUGUGUGUGUGUGUGUGUGUGUGGUACAAUGUCCAUGAUCUCUCUCUUUUGUCUCCCUGGUGUCCAUAACAUGUACAUAUUGCUAAAUGCAAUGAUGCGCAUUUGAUGAAUAUGUAAAUAGUAGUUAUGCAACACUGCACCUGUCGUUCAAUGCUUCAUAACGUUCUGAAAUCUUAAUGAAUUGCUCCCUACUGAAUAGAGUAAAGCCUUCACUGUGUAUUUUCUAGGCAAUAGAGAAUGGAUCAGGGCAUGAUUUAAUGUUGUCCACUAGCAGGGCAGCAUUCAGUUUUGACAAUGGAACACCUGUUUGGUUACCCAGGUAACAGCUGGGAUAUCAUCCAUUUGGAUGUAUGUGUGUGGAUUGUUGUUGUCUCAGUAAUAGACAAAGUGUAUUGUGAUUACAAAGCUUGGUAGUGCAGCGUUACAGUUCGAUUGAAUCCAGCUAUUAAAGGUGAUUUGUUUAAAUAGGAAGCAGGUACCCAGCAUGACAGUUCCUUUAAAUAAAGAAGGGAAGGCUGUUUGUGAUAAAAGUCCAACAAUUUUGUUCUAUUUUUCCCAGUUAGUUGCGCGUUUUGCAUGUCCGUGCGUGUGGCUCUGUCCCCACUGGAGAGCCUCCCUGGGGGUCUCCCUUGCCAACCUCAACAAAGGUCAUUGUGGGGGAGGAUGCGCACCCAGCUUUGACCCCCCGGGGUCACAGGAGGCCUGUAUGAUGGAGAUAGCCAGAGAAAUUGAGAUAAUAGAAUAACAAUAUAUGUGUUGUGUCCCUGUGCGCCUGGCCUGCACACAUGCAUGAAUCCCCCAAUUCAGCGUGUUUGCACACUCGGGGCAUGCGCGCAGGCAAUAUGUGCAUGCAUGCGUGCAGAGGUGAGGGGGGUCUUUUUGCAUCUGUUGGCCGAUGUAAUGGUCGGUCCAGCGUUGUGAGCAGAUUGCGGCUAGGUGCGUGUGCAGUAGAUAACUAUGUUUGCUUCUCUGUCUCCACACAUCAGGAGGAAGUCCUUGUGUCCACAGCCCAUAUAUUACUUUCUAUUUACCUCAUGGAUUAUACACUACAGAUAAUCGGAGAUAAAGGGGUUGCUUAGAAGGUCUGUCAGUGUUGCUUCCACCUGGCCUUUAUUCCAUUUUCUAUUCCAUUUAAAAUGUCAACAUUUGUUUUGUGUCUUAUUAGGAAGACCUUGGAAAACGCUGCACGCAUUUGACAGUGACCAAAUGGAUUGUGAAGAUUUAUUUUAGUAUGAUAAAUAUUUAUUUUAAAUUUACGAUACAGUGUUUGUGUCUAACUCUAAAAUUGCAUGUAAAUGUAUUCAUUAAAAAGAAACCUUGUGGUGGUAGAGGGCAAUGCGUGUUAUUAAAAACACUUCCUUAAAAAAAAUCCAAAUCAUUUUGGUCAAGUUCUUAUUUGCAUUACUGCUAUCAUUGAAAUCAAGGUUGACAUAGCUUAACAUUGUAUUACUGAGUUACUAUGAAAGCACAGUAUCCAUUUAUAUUGUGUCAGGAUGGAUGGGCUCUGCCUUUUGUUCCCUGUCAAUGCUCUCUAUGUCAGGCAACACGGUGAACGUGGGUAGAGAGGGAGCACUGGGAACCGCAAGGUUGGCGGUUCGAGGCCCGGAUGCUCCAUGUCCCAUGUCAAAGUGUCCCUGAGCAAGACACCUCACCCCUAUUUGCUCCCUGGGCAAAAAGCCAUGGGUUAAAAGUGCAAUGUAAGUUGCUUUGGAUAAAAACGUCAGCUAAAUGACCUGUAAUGUAACACAUCCUGCUGUAAGAAUUAUUAUUCUUAAAAAAGGAUGUCAUAUAUUCAGGGGCAAGUUUGGUUUUGUAAAAAAUGUCUAAUUCUCGAUAAUUGAAAUAAGAACAGCUUGGUAAUCUUACCCGUACCAACUCCCAACCCCUCACAUUCACACACCUCCCUUGUGGGGGAAGAGUGCCAUCUAUGUACACUCUAAAUAUCCGUAGUAAUUAAGACCAAUGUCAACCAAAAGGGGUUCUUUUUUAUUUCAUGGGCAAUUUGUGCACGUUUUCCUCCUCACUCCACAAGCCAGUGAGCUCAUGGAGCAAUAACUACAACUCCUGUAAAUGGAGGCACACAAAGACAAGACCAAUUUAAAACCUCCCAGGUCAUCAGGGCUAAAUGGGGGCGUCAUGACCUAAAACUGCUUUUGCCUUUGUUGUGUUGUUGUCCGACAGAAAAGAUGCCUCAAGUCACCAGUUUCCCAUGUCUUCAGUUUUCGAGUGAUAAUUCUAUCCACCCGUCAUAAUAACUUGUGAACACGCUUAAAAGUGAAACUAUUAUUGAUGAGCUUGAAAAAGCUCUUCCUGCACAUUGGUUCCACCUAAACUUCACCUGCAGGUGUGACCUCAUGUCACAUCAAGUCAUUAUAAAACUAGUCUGCACAUAAUGUAGGGG